This 798-nucleotide unclassified non-coding RNA is filed under the name Hevea brasiliensis (rubber tree). Lineage: Eukaryota; Viridiplantae; Streptophyta; Magnoliopsida; Malpighiales; Euphorbiaceae. The record is from RNAcentral.
GAAUUGCCAAAAAAAACCUAUCAGUGCAUCGCUCCCAUUGAACCAACAGUAAAAUUUAAGAAUGCAGAGAUUAUGUGCGAAGUUCCGCUCUUUGGCCGGGCAAUCAACCCAAACCCUGACCACCUUCUCCUCAUCUCAUCGCUUCCUACACACUUCUUCACAAGUUCGCCAACCUCUCUUUUUCACAUCAGCUUCGCGAAAGUUUAACCUUAGCAGCCAACUUUUUAACGCAUCUUCACCACCGAAUCUGUUCCAAUCUCCUUCUGCGGCUUUUCAAUUGCCAUUGCCUCCUUCUGUAGCCCUUCUCUCUUUGAUGCACGUGCGUCAUGUUUCAUCAAGGGAGCGCCGAAAGAAGCGGAAGCCAAUGACUCCAGUCACCUCCAAAGUCAAGAAAAUCAAAAUAAAAUUUUAUUCGUCCUACAAGGACAGAUUUCGGACAAUGAAUGAUGGGACUAUCAGACGCUGGAGGGAGGGCAAGAAUCAUAAUGCACACUUGAAGUCAAAGAAAUCAAAACGGAGACUGAGACAGCCUUCUACUGUCCCUGCAGCUUAUGCCAAAGUUAUGAAGAAACUUAAUUUCUGUUAGAAUUGUUGCGAAUAUUCAAAGGUGAGGCAAAUGUUUUAAGAGCGAAAGUUUUUCUGGCAAUGAUUUCACUCAUCUUGGCAUUUUGUUUGAACAAUUGAUAAUAGCUUCACCAUUUCAUGUCUGAUUUCCUUUAAUUUUAUUUGCAAAUGUGGAUUAACUAAUACUUUUAACAGAGUCGAAUAGCGAAAAAGGAUCCACAUAGUCAAUGGCAG